This 465-nucleotide ribosomal RNA is filed under the name uncultured bacterium. Its description in RNAcentral is "partial 16S ribosomal RNA". It matches the Rfam family "Bacterial small subunit ribosomal RNA", at positions 28 to 507 of the family's 1533-position model. The record is from RNAcentral.
GACGAACGCUGGCGGCGUGCUUAACACAUGCAAGUCGAACGGAAAGGCCCCUUUGGGGGUACUCGAGUGGCGCACGGGUGAGUAACACGUGAGUAACCUGCCCUUGACUUCGGGAUAACUUCAGGAAACUGGGGCUAAUACCGGAUAGGAAUCCUUGCUGCAUGGUGGGGGUUGGAAAGCUUCGGCGGUUUUGGAUGGACUCGCGGCUUAUCAGCUUGUUGGUGGGGUAGUGGCUUACCAAGGCUUUGACGGGUAGCCGGCCUGAGAGGGCGACCGGCCACCUUGGGACUGAGAUACGGCCCAGACUCCUACGGGAGGAAGCAGUGGGGAAUAUUGCACAAUGGGCGGAAGUCUGAUGCAGCAACGCCGCGUGCGGGAUGACGGCCUUCGGGUUGUAAACCGCUUUCAGCAGGGGCGAAGCUUGUGGUGACGGUACCUGCAGAAGAAGCACCGGCUAACUACGUG